GUCUUUAUGUAAUUUAUAUAAAGUCUAGCCUGCCCAUUGAUAAAUUUAAAAGGCCGCGGUAUUUUGACCGUGCAAAGGUAGCAUAGUCAUUAGUCUUUUAAUUGUAGGCUUGAAUGAAUGGUUGAACAAGAAAUAAACUGUCUUAAUAAAAUAAAUUGAAUUUAAUAUUUAAGUAAAAAAGCUUAAAUAAUUUAAAGUGACGAUAAGACCCUAUAAAAUUUAAUAAUUAAAAGUAAAAGAUUGAAUUAGUUUAUUAAUUUUUUUUUAUUUUUGAUUUAUUUUAUUGGGGCGAUAAUAAUAAAAAUAAUAACUGUUUAAAAAUUAUAAUGAUAAUUAUUAGAUAAUUUGAAUGAUCCUUUGUUAGAGAUUAAAAGAUUAAAUUACUUUAGGGAUAACAGCGUAAUUUUCUUUGAGAGUUCUUAUUUACAAGAAAGAUUACGACCUCGAUGUUGAAUUAAAAGUUCUUUAAGGUGUAGCAGCUUUAAUAGGAGGUCUGUUCGACCUUUAAAUUUUU
RNAcentral lists this ribosomal RNA (514 nucleotides) under Stylocheiron elongatum. RNAcentral describes it as "partial 16S ribosomal RNA". It matches the Rfam family "Archaeal large subunit ribosomal RNA", at positions 1917 to 2666 of the family's 2987-position model. The record is from RNAcentral. Lineage: Eukaryota; Metazoa; Arthropoda; Malacostraca; Euphausiacea; Euphausiidae.